AGAGUUUGAUCCUGGCUCAGAUUGAACGCUGGCGGCAUGCCUUACACAUGCAAGUCGAACGGCAGCACGGGGGCAACCCUGGUGGCGAGUGGCGAACGGGUGAGUAACACAUCGGAACGUGUCCUGUUGUGGGGGAUAACUAGUCGAAAGAUUAGCUAAUACCGCAUGAGCUGGAGACAGGAAAGCGGGGGAUCGCAAGACCUCGCGCGAUUGGAGCGGCCGAUGUCCGAUUAGCUAGUUGGUGGGGUAAAGGCCUACCAAGGCGACGAUCGGUAGCUGGUCUGAGAGGAUGAUCAGCCACACUGGGACUGAGACACGGCCCAGACUCCUACGGGAGGCAGCAGUGGGGAGUUUUGGACAAUGGGGGCAACCCUGAUCCAGCCAUGCCGCGUGAGUGAAGAAGGCCUUCGGGUUGUAAAGCUCUUUCGGUGGGAACGAAACGGUUACAGCCAAUACCUGUGACUACUGACGGUACCUACAGAAGAAGCACCGGCUAACUACGUGCCAGCAGCCGCGGUAAUAC
RNAcentral lists this ribosomal RNA (523 nucleotides) under uncultured bacterium. RNAcentral's name for it is "bacterial SSU rRNA". It matches the Rfam family "Bacterial small subunit ribosomal RNA", at positions 8 to 526 of the family's 1533-position model. The record is from RNAcentral.